CAAAAACCAGCACAGGCCCCAGUUGUCUUUCAAAAGCUCUGAUUUACUGCGUAUUUCUCCCUUGAGAGAGGCCUUUUUAAAACGUUCAUUUCCAUUUUAAGAGACCGAGGGCUUUGAUCUGUUGGGAGCAUUCUUUUUCUUUCCCUGAGUGGGACCUGUCGACUCCUCCAGGCAGAACUGGAGCCUUGCUCUCAGAGUCUGUAUUUUUCCACGGACUUCCCGGACAUCCAGACAGCAUCUCUCGCAUCGGCAUUCACCCUGGCCAAUCUGGAAGUCAGCAUUGGAGUAGGUUCACGGCGGGUCUUGGACAGGACAAGCAUUACUAUUCACCAGCAGUCCCAGGAACUCUCCCUGAGGCCUCCACUCCAGUCACUUCAUAACCUGGCAAGAACAGUGUCACUUUCCGGGGUUUGCAGCACUGAUGACACUCUUGUUUCCUCAUGAAAAAGCCUGGGUCACCUGAGGACACUUCUUGCAUGGAUCCAGCUGGCCUGCACCUUUCUGUCACCAGUUCCCUGUGUUCCCUCCAGGGGCGCUGACCAUCGUUUUCACUGUAAUGAGUACACUGUAACUGAACCAGUUACGAGGAUUUUAAAAAAAGUCUUUGCAAUCUGCUAAGUAAUGCCUUGAUCCUUUGUCCUCUUUCAAAAAGGAAGACAGCAACUGAUACUCCACCAGGUUUUAGCUGGGCUUACUGAAAAGCCGUAUUUUUAUUUAUUUUUUUAACUUUUUAUUUUGUAUUGGGAUAUAGUCGAUUAACAAUGUUGUGAUAGUUUCAGGAGAACGGUGAAGGGACUUGGCCAUUCAUAUGCGUGUGUCUGCACUCUCUCAAACUUCCCUCUCAUCCAGGCUGCCACAUAACAUUGAGCAGAGUUCCACGUGCCAUAACUUUUUAAAAAUACAAGUGUAAUAUGAACCAGCCACACAUCUCAAUAUUUCAUCUGCUUGUAGAGAACAUGUCUCCAAAAAAAGGCUUCGGGGAAGAGCAC
Molecule: long non-coding RNA, 989 nt
Filed under: Ovis aries (sheep)
Lineage: Eukaryota; Metazoa; Chordata; Mammalia; Artiodactyla; Bovidae
Description: lncRNA (ENSOARG00000026882.1)
Source: RNAcentral